RNAcentral lists this ribosomal RNA (378 nucleotides) under uncultured bacterium. RNAcentral describes it as "bacterial SSU rRNA". It matches the Rfam family "Bacterial small subunit ribosomal RNA", at positions 521 to 896 of the family's 1533-position model. The record is from RNAcentral.
UAAUACGGAGGGUGCAAGCGUUGUCCGGAUUUACUGGGUGUAAAGGGCGUGUAGGCGGAGUGAUGUGUCGGGAGUGAAAUCGUACGGCUUAACCGUAUCAACUGCUUCCGAAACUAUCACCCUUGAAUGUCAGAGGGGCAGAUGGAAUUCCUGGUGUAGCGGUGGAAUGCGUAGAUAUCAGGAAGAACACCGGUGGCGAAGGCGAUCUGCUGGCUGAACAUUGACGCUGAGGCGCGAAAGUGCGGGGAGCAAACAGGAUUAGAUACCCUGGUAGUCCGCACCGUAAACGAUGGUCACUAGAUGUCGGGGGAUUCGACCCCUUCGGUAUCGACGCUAACGCAUUAAGUGACCCACCUGGGGAGUACGCUCGCAAGGGUG